AUUAAAGGAAAUAAGAGCGCACAGUGGAUGCCUAGGCACCAAGAGUUGAUGAAGGACGA
This 59-nucleotide ribosomal RNA is filed under the name Mollicutes bacterium. RNAcentral describes it as "partial 23S ribosomal RNA". The record is from RNAcentral. Lineage: Bacteria; Bacillati; Mycoplasmatota; Mollicutes.